This is a transfer RNA of 72 nucleotides. It matches the Rfam family "tRNA". Rfam says of the family: Transfer RNA (tRNA) molecules are approximately 80 nucleotides in length. Their secondary structure includes four short double-helical elements and three loops (D, anti-codon, and T loops). The record is from Rfam.
GGGGCUAUAGCUCAAUGGAAGAGCGCUUUCUCUGCAGGGAAGAAGUUGGAGGUUCAAAUCCUCUUAGCCCCC